Molecule: ribosomal RNA, 1358 nt
Filed under: uncultured bacterium
Lineage: Bacteria
Description: bacterial SSU rRNA
Rfam family: Bacterial small subunit ribosomal RNA
Source: RNAcentral
GAUGAACGCUAGCUACAGGCUUAACACAUGCAAGUCGAGGGGCAGCAUGGUCUUAGCUUGCUAAGGCCGAUGGCGACCGGCGCACGGGUGAGUAACACGUAUCCAACCUGCCGUCUACUCUUGGACAGCCUUCUGAAAGGAAGAUUAAUACAAGAUGGCAUCAUGAGUCCACAUGUUCACAUGAUUAAAGGUAUUCCGGUAGACGAUGGGGAUGCGUUCCAUUAGAUAGUAGGCGGGGUAACGGCCCACCUAGUCUUCGAUGGAUAGGGGUUCUGAGAGGAAGGUCCCCCACAUUGGAACUGAGACACGGUCCAAACUCCUACGGGAGGCAGCAGUGAGGAAUAUUGGUCAAUGGGCGAGAGCCUGAACCAGCCAAGUAGCGUGAAGGAUGACUGCCCUAUGGGUUGUAAACUUCUUUUAUAAAGGAAUAAAGUCGGGUAUGGAUACCCGUUUGCAUGUACUUUAUGAAUAAGGAUCGGCUAACUCCGUGCCAGCAGCCGCGGUAAUACGGAGGAUCCGAGCGUUAUCCGGAUUUAUUGGGUUUAAAGGGAGCGUAGAUGGAUGUUUAAGUCAGUUGUGAAAGUUUGCGGCUCAACCGUAAAAUUGCAGUUGAUACUGGAUAUCUUGAGUGCAGUUGAGGCAGGCGGAAUUCGUGGUGUAGCGGUGAAAUGCUUAGAUAUCACGAAGAACUCCGAUUGCGAAGGCAGCCUGCUAAGCUGCAACUGACAUUGAGGCUCGAAAGUGUGGGUAUCAAACAGGAUUAGAUACCCUGGUAGUCCACACGGUAAACGAUGAAUACUCGCUGUUUGCGAUAUACAGCAAGCGGCCAAGCGAAAGCGUUAAGUAUUCCACCUGGGGAGUACGCCGGCAACGGUGAAACUCAAAGGAAUUGACGGGGGCCCGCACAAGUGGAGGAACAUGUGGUUUAAUUCGAUGAUACGCGAGGAACCUUACCCGGGCUUAAAUUGCAGAUGAAUUACGGUGAAAGCCGUAAGCCGCAAGGCAUCUGUGAAGGUGCUGCAUGGUUGUCGUCAGCUCGUGCCGUGAGGUGUCGGCUUAAGUGCCAUAACGAGCGCAACCCUUGUUGUCAGUUACUAACAGGUUCCGGUGAGGACUCUGACAAGACUGCCAUCGUAAGAUGUGAGGAAGGUGGGGAUGACGUCAAAUCAGCACGGCCCUUACGUCCGGGGCUACACACGUGUUACAAUGGGGGGUACAGAGGGCCGCUACCACGCGAGUGGAUGCCAAUCCCAAAAACCUCUCUCAGUUCGGACUGGAGUCUGCAACCCGACUCCACGAAGCUGGAUUCGCUAGUAAUCGCGCAUCAGCCACGGCGCGGUGAAUACGUUCCCGGGCCU